RNAcentral lists this transfer RNA (69 nucleotides) under Trigonectes rubromarginatus. Its description in RNAcentral is "tRNA-Ala". It matches the Rfam family "tRNA". Rfam says of the family: Transfer RNA (tRNA) molecules are approximately 80 nucleotides in length. Their secondary structure includes four short double-helical elements and three loops (D, anti-codon, and T loops). Lineage: Eukaryota; Metazoa; Chordata; Actinopteri; Cyprinodontiformes; Rivulidae. The record is from RNAcentral.
GAAGCUUUAGCUUAAUUAAAGCAUCUGUUUUGCAUGCAGAAGAUGUGGGUUAGACGCCCGUAAGUUUUA